CAGUCUGGUGCCAGCAGCCGCGGUAAUUCCAGCUCCAAUAGCGUAUAUUAAAGUUGUUGCAGUUAAAAAGCUCGUAGUUGAAUUUCGGGGUUAGUAGGUUGGUCAUGCCUCUGGUAUGUACUGGUCUCACUGAUUCCUCCUUCCUGAUGAGCCGUAAUGCCAUUAAUUUGGUGUUGCGGGGAAUUUGGACUGUUACUUUGAAAAAAUUAGAGUGUUUAAAGCAAGCUAACGCUUGAAUACAUUAGCAUGGAAUAAUGAAAUAGGACGUUCGAUCCUAUUUUGUUGGUUUCUAGGAUUGACGUAAUGAUUAAUAGGGAUAGUUGGGGGCAUUAGUAUUCAAUUGUCAGAGGUGAAAUUCUUGGAUUUAUUGAAGACUAACUACUGCGAAAGCAUUUGCCAAGGAUGUUUUCAUUAAUCAAGAACGCAAAGUUAGGGGAUCGAGAGACGCAUCAGAUGACCGNUCGUAGUCUUAACCAUAAACUUNUGGCGCGGACUCANGGCUCCGGGCAU
This 510-nucleotide ribosomal RNA is filed under the name vouchered mycorrhizae (Glomus). RNAcentral's name for it is "SSU rRNA". It matches the Rfam family "Eukaryotic small subunit ribosomal RNA", at positions 557 to 1066 of the family's 1831-position model. The record is from RNAcentral. Lineage: Eukaryota; Fungi; Glomeromycota; Glomeromycetes; Glomerales; Glomeraceae.